Molecule: non-coding RNA, 533 nt
Organism: Taeniopygia guttata (zebra finch)
Lineage: Eukaryota; Metazoa; Chordata; Aves; Passeriformes; Estrildidae
Source: RefSeq, a predicted model, not a curated record
UGCAGCAGCAGCGGGAGCCUCAGGCAGACUUCCUCUGAAAAUUUGGCCCCAAAAAAGAGGAUCAGUCCCAGCAGUGGCUUCUCCUCACCUGAACCCCAGGUGCUUUGCAUCCCAAAGAUGCCUAUCAGUGAUAAACAACACACAAAUGUGAGUGAGCAGAGUUUGGAGAGGCUGGAGCAGAGUUUGGAAACACUGGUGCAGAGCCUGGUGCUGCACAGACAGGUUGGCGCAGAACAUCCCAACUCUUCUCAUUGGAACUAGGUCACUGUUCUCCUUCCAGAAACAGAAACAUCUCCAAAGAGCCUAGGCCCAGCAAACACUACAGUCCCCACAGGCACAUGUGGGGAGUGAAGGAGUUUUGCAUCUCCAGGCAGGAGCAGAGGGAUCAGUUUUACUUUUUGAAGCACAGACCAGCUCUGAACAAAGAGAUUCUGAUCUGCUCCAAUCUUAUGGCUUCCAAAGGGGUCAUGUUAGAAAUCUGGAACCUCCUGAAUCCCACGUUUUUUCUAAAGAAGUAUUUUUUCCCAAGAUAA